AUGAUAAACAGUUACCUGUCUCGUUGUGCCCUCACAACCAAGAACAUGACAAAAUCUGACUUUCAAAAAGGCUGAGGCUGAGUCUCAGAGACUGGAGGAUUUGAGCAGUGAACUGGGGUGUCCUGAGAACAGAUUCUGUAGGUACCAGAUGUGAUGACCAACAUAACCUUCAGAAAUCAACUGAACAACUGUUUCUUGGUGUUCAUCAAAAAAAGCCUUUAUAAUCAGACUGGUAUGUUGAUAACUCAUCUAAUAUUUUUGUCAUUUUUAUGUCUUAUCUGGAUUAUUUUGGUAUUAACAUGUUUUCAGGUCCUUAAUGUUAAAAUGUCUUCCAUGUAAUUUUACAGAUAUUACAGUUUUUUAAGAUUGCUUACACACUAAAAUGAAAAAUAACACACAGUUACUGAAAACUUAUACUCAAGGAGCAAAACCUCAGCCCAGAUCUGCACUAUAAGCACAUUCUCAGCCACACACUUUUUGCAAAACACUAAACACACUUCUCUACAUUAGACACAGAAAUCUAACAUAAUGUCACUUCUUUGUCAUUUCAAGACACUGCUUUCCAAAAUACCGCCCCUAUAAACCAAUUGAUCAAACAUGGCUGUCAGGUGUUCAGACACUUAGGUGCGUAACUGUAAACUCAACAAUCAGGUGUAAGUAGCCUACGAUAAAAAGGCAAAAGGUGAGUUUAUGUGUCUUCAAUGUUGCAGUAAGAGGGAGAGGGAGAAACAUCAUUGGCCACAGAGCUAUUUUGAAUGUCCCGGGACAACGUGGUGGUAACAUCACAAUAUAUGUUGCAGUCACGCAGAAUGGGGUCCUCCACCAGCAUGCCAACUUAGAC
Molecule: long non-coding RNA, 841 nt
Organism: Ctenopharyngodon idella (grass carp)
Lineage: Eukaryota; Metazoa; Chordata; Actinopteri; Cypriniformes; Xenocyprididae
Exons: 3
Source: RefSeq, a predicted model, not a curated record